UACGUAGGGGGCAAGCGUUGUCCGGAUUUAUUGGGCGUAAAGAGCGUGUAGGCGGCCAAAUAGGUCGGUUGUGAAAACUGGAGGCUUAACCUCCAGACGUCGACCGAAACCAUCUGGCUAGAGUCCGGAAGAGGAGAGUGGAAUUCCUGGUGUAGCGGUGAAAUGCGCAGAUAUCAGGAAGAACACCCGUGGCGAAGGCGGCUCUCUGGGACGGUACUGACGCUGAGACGCGAAAGCGUGGGGAGCGAACAGG
This 253-nucleotide ribosomal RNA is filed under the name uncultured bacterium. RNAcentral's name for it is "partial 16S ribosomal RNA". It matches the Rfam family "Bacterial small subunit ribosomal RNA", at positions 524 to 776 of the family's 1533-position model. The record is from RNAcentral. RNAcentral also lists the same sequence under 1 other name.